CCAAGGAAGAAUGCACUUUGUUCUGCUUCUCCCUGCUGCAAAAUUUACAGGAUGGCUUUCCUCCAUCUGUGUCCAGGAGAGGUCUGUGAUUGUUUCAGCACUUCCUGUGACUAGCUGAGGAGGGCUUUCUAAUUCUGAGAUUCUGCCCACUUAAUGAAAUUAAUAGAUAUUGCCUCUGACACAUCCUCUUUCUCCUCUCUUUGGGAGGAACAACCAAGAGGAGCACCAACAAAACAUUUAUUGUACCUUCUCAAUACAUCCUUCAGCUCAAUAGAUUUUGAUUAAAUUCCACUAAUGUUAAUUGGACGCCUACUCCACACAAGCCAUUGUGGGUGAUACAAAAAUGAAUAACACACGGUCCUUGCGAAAUGGGAACUUUCAUUCUAUAUAACCACUUGGAGAAACUCCUCUAACUCUUCCCUUUUACAUUUCCUUCAGGUAGGGGUGAAAGAUUCCCUAUCCAAUAGAGGAUGAGAGGAUUGGAAGGAAUUUUCCCAGCCCUCAUAUUCCCUGUCCUGCUGUCUCCUCAGCUUUGGAGAUAAUUGUCACAGUUGAGUCCUGAUGCUUAAAGAGUAGCAGGCUCUAUAAGAACCUUGAGCUUCCUGAGUGGGGUUUAAAUGGUCCCUACAUGACCUUUCUCAGCUACUGAGUAAAGUAUUCUGGAAGAUGCUGAAAAAAUAAGGGGACUAUGACUGACAGUUAACCCAUUACCGGAAGUUGGGAGAACUUUUCACAAACGACGUGGAUGAAGAACUGAGUUGCAAAACACAGCAGCUGCCUGUGCUUAGACAUGAACUAAGGCUACCCUCCUAAACGGUUGUUUGAACCCAGCAGACCGAGGGAUAAUCUGGAAAAAGGGGAAAACCGCAUUUCUUCCAGCCCUGCAACCUGGUUCAUGGUGCCACUCGGACGUACUGGAGAUCAGGAACCAGCCCGCACGUGGAUGUGCGGCUGCCAGAGAGCCCCUGGCAGUCACCAUCCAACUUUGUUUCUGUGAAUUUGACUCCUUGAGCUACCUCCCAUGUGGGGUGCUGUAUUUGUCUUUUCGGUGCCUGGCUUAUUUCCCUGAACAUCAUGUCCUCAAGG
Lutra lutra (Eurasian river otter) is the source of this 1086-nucleotide long non-coding RNA. RefSeq lists it as uncharacterized. The record is from RefSeq and is a predicted model, not a curated record. Lineage: Eukaryota; Metazoa; Chordata; Mammalia; Carnivora; Mustelidae. The transcript is spliced from 6 exons.